AGCGAACGCUGGCGGCAGGCCUGACACAUGCAAGUCGAACGGAUCCUUCGGGAUUAGUGGCGGACGGGUGAGUAACACGUGGGAACGUGCCCUUUGGUUCGGAACAACUCAGGGAAACUUGAGCUAAUACCGGAUGUGCCCUUCGGGGGAAAGAUUUAUCGCCAUUGGAGCGGCCCGCGUCUGAUUAGCUAGUUGGUGAGGUAAAGGCUCACCAAGGCGACGAUCAGUAGCUGGUCUGAGAGGAUGAUCAGCCACAUUGGGACUGAGACACGGCCCAAACCCGUACGGGGGACGGCGGUGGGGAAUCUUGCGCAAUGGGCGAAAGCCUGACGCAGCCAUGCCGCGUGAAUGAUGAAGGUCUGAGGAUUGUAAAAUUCUUUCACCGGGGACGAUAAUGACGGUACCCGGAGAAGAAGCCCCGGCAAACUUCGUGCCAGCCGCCGCCGUAA
This 449-nucleotide ribosomal RNA is filed under the name uncultured bacterium. Its description in RNAcentral is "partial 16S ribosomal RNA". It matches the Rfam family "Bacterial small subunit ribosomal RNA", at positions 29 to 523 of the family's 1533-position model. The record is from RNAcentral.